Long non-coding RNA from Formica exsecta, 1671 nucleotides. RefSeq lists it as uncharacterized. The transcript is spliced from 2 exons. The record is from RefSeq and is a predicted model, not a curated record. NCBI's taxonomy places the organism in Eukaryota, Metazoa, Arthropoda, Insecta, Hymenoptera, Formicidae.
AGAAAGAGAGAGAGAGAGAGAGAGAGAGAGAGAGAGAUAUGUAUGUGUUUGUGUUUGUAUCUAUCCGUUUGUUUUUUUCCUCAUAGCUGGAAUGAUCAUAAUCGAAAGAAAUUUCUUUCUUAUGUCAUAAACACAAUUGUGAUAUAAGAAAUAAUAAAUUGAGAUUUUACGUCUUGUCGAUCUUAUCAAUUUCACGUAGUAUGAGAAAUUGAAUAUAUAUAUUUUUUUAAUAUAUAAACAGUCGCAAUGUAAAACUAAUAGUCUUUUUUCUAAAAAUAUGCGUUACACUUGUCUCCUUCUCUUGCAUCUCUUUACGAAGAAAGACAUAAAGACACGCACAGCUUCUUUCUCUCUUCCUCUCUCUCUCUUUCGUCUUCUAAUCUCCCCCUUCCCUCCAACUUACAAUUAGAAUGCAGAGUUCGAUUUCUUGAAACGCCCGCAUUUCUCCGCUACUCUACUCUCUCUAUCUUACAGAAGAAAGAAAAAUGAAACCAACAAAGAUGAUCGACUGUAAUGAUACCGAAAUAGCUGUCCUAAUCUCCAUGAGAAUCGUAUUAUAAUAGAACUAGAUAUUAGAAAGAGUGCGCGGUUAUAUAAAAUCGCGCUGGGUCGAGGUCGAUGAAAUAAUUCCCAUCGGCUUGCAUUCCAAAGUAUCGUAACCCUGGCAUGAUCUACAUCCGCGCUCCAUUCGUCUCGGCGAAUUAGCGACUUGAGAUACGCGUAUGCAAUUUGCAUCACCGAUAUCAUUUAUAUAUGUAUACCGUCUUUCUCGAAAAAGAAAUCGGACGGCGCGAGAUUUAGAUAGCGGCAAAUUGGUACGAGAGAUAUCUGAGAUUUCCUCGAGGAUAUAUUUUAGCCUCCUUAAGAGAAUUUCUUAAAUCUUCUUAAAAAUGUGAUAAUAUAUUGGGUAUCUUUUUUAGAAACUUUGCACUCGCGAAACUGUUAAUCGCAGACAAUAGAAAUCGUAUCUAUGGUGAGAAUUAAACGGCGCACGCAAGCGUGCGUAUAAUUUUACUUCUCGCAACUCGAAUCAAAGGAUUACUUUUAUAUACGCAAUCGAUCUUCUUACGUAGUAUACGAGAAAAUGACAUACCUUUUUUCGCCACGCGUUGCGCGAGAAUGUUAUUUUAUUGUAGCGUCCUGUAAUAUAUAUGCCUUAUAUAGAGAUAGGAAUUGUAAAUGUAUCUUAUUCUAUAAACACACGCAAACAUUCAUAUACUUUCGAAAGUUUCAUUUGUACAUAACAAUCAUGUUUUUCUUCUUUUGUUAUCGUGCACUGUCUAUUCGAUAGCCUGUAUCUCUAUCUCAAUGAAGUUUACGUUGGAUUACGAUAUGUUUUUCUCUAAUAACUUGAGUAGUAUAAAUAAGUUACAAUAAACAGGAAAUUAUCAGACAUCGAGCUCUUUUGAUUCAAAAGAUAUAUGCCAAUGAGAAUGUUGCAAAAUACGUUUCGUGAAUGUUUUGGAUAAGCAACAUUAAAAUACAUUUUUCGGAUAUCUAUAGAACAAAUCCCACGCUUAUUCCCACACGAGCUUAACUUGGCACAGCUUCAACGCGUUGCACGCAAUUUGCAUUGCGUCGUGCUUUAUUUUUGACGUUUCCAGCGCGGAGCACGAUAUCGCCUUCGUAUCCUUAAAUGGCGAUUGUUGAAAAAUGAAAAAAAAAAAAACA